This 564-nucleotide ribosomal RNA is filed under the name Escherichia coli. Its description in RNAcentral is "partial 23S ribosomal RNA". It matches the Rfam family "Bacterial large subunit ribosomal RNA", at positions 677 to 1239 of the family's 2925-position model. Lineage: Bacteria; Pseudomonadati; Pseudomonadota; Gammaproteobacteria; Enterobacterales; Enterobacteriaceae. The record is from RNAcentral.
CCGAGUCUUAACUGGGCGUUAAGUUGCAGGGUAUAGACCCGAAACCCGGUGAUCUAGCCAUGGGCAGGUUGAAGGUUGGGUAACACUAACUGGAGGACCGAACCGACUAAUGUUGAAAAAUUAGCGGAUGACUUGUGGCUGGGGGUGAAAGGCCAAUCAAACCGGGAGAUAGCUGGUUCUCCCCGAAAGCUAUUUAGGUAGCGCCUCGUGAAUUCAUCUCCGGGGGUAGAGCACUGUUUCGGCAAGGGGGUCAUCCCGACUUACCAACCCGAUGCAAACUGCGAAUACCGGAGAAUGUUAUCACGGGAGACACACGGCGGGUGCUAACGUCCGUCGUGAAGAGGGAAACAACCCAGACCGCCAGCUAAGGUCCCAAAGUCAUGGUUAAGUGGGAAACGAUGUGGGAAGGCCCAGACAGCCAGGAUGUUGGCUUAGAAGCAGCCAUCAUUUAAAGAAAGCGUAAUAGCUCACUGGUCGAGUCGGCCUGCGCGGAAGAUGUAACGGGGCUAAACCAUGCACCGAAGCUGCGGCAGCGACACUGUGUGUUGUUGGGUAGGGGAGCGU